CAGUAGCCGCGGUAAUACGUAGGGUGCGAGCGUUAAUCGGAAUUACUGGGCGUAAAGGGCACGCAGGCGGUGACUUAAGUGAGGUGUGAAAGCCCCGGGCUUAACCUGGGAAUUGCAUUUCAUACUGGGUCGCUAGAGUACUUUAGGGAGGGGUAGAAUUCCACGUGUAGCGGUGAAAUGCGUAGAGAUGUGGAGGAAUACCGAAGGCGAAGGCAGCCCCUUGGGAAUGUACUGACUCUCAUGUGCGAAAGCGUGGGGAGCAAACAGGAUUAGAUACCCCCGUAGUCCCUGUCUCUUAUAC
This 301-nucleotide ribosomal RNA is filed under the name uncultured bacterium. RNAcentral describes it as "partial 16S ribosomal RNA". It matches the Rfam family "Bacterial small subunit ribosomal RNA", at positions 509 to 807 of the family's 1533-position model. The record is from RNAcentral.